CGCGUGUACUGGUCCGGCCGGGCCUUUCCCUCUGUGGAACCCCAUGCCCUUCACUGGGUGUGGCGGGGAAACAGGACUUUUACUGUGAAAAAAUUAGAGUGCUCCAGGCAGGCCUGUGCUCGAAUACAUUAGCAUGGAAUAAUAGAAUAGGACGUGUGGUUCUAUUUUGUUGGUUUCUAGGACCGCCGUAAUGAUUAAUAGGGACAGUCGGGGGCAUCAGUAUUCAAUUGUCAGAGGUGAAAUUCUUGGAUUUAUUGAAGACUAACUACUGCGAAAGCAUUUGCCAAGGAUGUUUUCAUUAAUCAGGAACGAAAGUUAGGGGAUCGAAGACGAUCAGAUACCGUCGUAGUCUUAACCAUAAACUAUGCCGACUAGGGAUCGGACGGUGUUAUAUUUUGACCCGUUCGGCACCUUACGAGAAAUCAAAGUGCUUGGGCUCCAGGGGGAGUAUGGUCGCAAGGCUGAAACUUAAAGAAAUUGACGGAAGGGCACCACCAGGGGUGGAGCCUGCGGCUUAAUUUGACUCAACACGGGGAAACUCACCAGGUCCAGACACAAUGAGGAUUGACAGAUUGAGAGCUCUUUCUUGAUUUUGUGGGUGGUGGUGCAUGGCCGUUCUUAGUUGGUGGAGUGAUUUGUCUGCUUAAUUGCGAUAACGAACGAGACCUUAACCUGCUAAAUAGCCCGUAUUGCUUUGGCAGUACGCUGGCUUCUUAGAGGGACUAUCGG
This 729-nucleotide ribosomal RNA is filed under the name uncultured eukaryote. RNAcentral describes it as "SSU rRNA". It matches the Rfam family "Eukaryotic small subunit ribosomal RNA", at positions 670 to 1426 of the family's 1831-position model. The record is from RNAcentral.